Non-coding RNA from Phoenix dactylifera (date palm), 468 nucleotides. NCBI's taxonomy places the organism in Eukaryota, Viridiplantae, Streptophyta, Magnoliopsida, Arecales, Arecaceae. The record is from RefSeq and is a predicted model, not a curated record.
GGAGCAGCAGUGGGAUGCAAUCACCCUAGGCCAAGUGGCGUGCGGCGUCCGCCAAAAAUUGGAACGAGACGGAGGUCAAAUAAAAUAAUUUCAACGUGGGUCCAUCCAAUAAUUUCUCGAUGGUGGGGAGGGGAGGAUGGAGGACAUGAGUGCUGGUAUCCAAAGUAAAGGCGAGACUCUUGAAGAGCCUCUUUCUUUUCGAGAUUGAUUGGCUAUAGUUCUUUUCUCCCAUUGCCAUCCCAUCACGAGCAUCCUUCCCAACGAGAGAGUGACGACAAGUUUUCUUCUCAAUCGGCAUCUGAUGACAAACAACCUUAAUUUCUGACCAGCAUUUAACAAUGAGCGUCCUUACGGAUCAGAUUUUGCUCUCGCUUCUCUGCCCACCAUGUUACAAAGAUUGAGAAUGCUAGUGUAUCAUUUGCUGAUUUUGAGUUCUACUUGUUUAAUACUAUAGAUUUGAUUCCUUAA